This 497-nucleotide ribosomal RNA is filed under the name uncultured bacterium. RNAcentral describes it as "partial 16S ribosomal RNA". It matches the Rfam family "Bacterial small subunit ribosomal RNA", at positions 28 to 507 of the family's 1533-position model. The record is from RNAcentral.
GAUGAACGCUGGCGGCGUGCCUAAUACAUGCAAGUCGAGCGAACAGACGAGGAGCUUGCUCCUCUGACGUUAGCGGCGGACGGGUGAGUAACACGUGGAUAACCUACCUAUAAGACUGGGAUAACUUCGGGAAACCGGAGCUAAUACCGGAUAACAUGUUGAACCGCAUGGUUCAACAGUGAAAGACGGUCUUGCUGUCACUUAUAGAUGGAUCCGCGCCGCAUUAGCUAGUUGGUAAGGUAACGGCUUACCAAGGCAACGAUGCGUAGCCGACGUGAGAGGGUGAUCGGCCACACUGGAACUGAGACACGGUCCAGACUCCUACGGGAGGCAGCAGUAGGGAAUCUUCCGCAAUGGGCGAAAUCCUGACGGAGCAACGCCGCGUGAGUGAAGAAGGUCUUCGGAUCGUAAAACUCUGUUAUUAGGGAAGAACAAAUGUGUAAGUAACUAUGCACGUCUUGACGGUACCUAAUCAGAAAGCCACGGCUAACUACGUG